AGUGAACGCUGGCGGUAGGCCUAACACAUGCAAGUCGAACGGCAGCACAUUAAGAGCUUGCUCUUACGGGUGGCGAGUGGCGACGGGUGAGGAAUACAUCUGAAUCUACUUUUUCGUGGGGGAUAACGUAGGGAAACUUACGCUAAUACCGCAUACGACCUACGGGUUAAAGCCGGGGAUCUUUGGACCUUGCGCGUUUUAAUGAGCCGAUGUUGGAUUAGCUAGUUGGCGGGGUAAAGGCCCACCAAGGCGACGAUCCGUAGCUGGUCUGAGAGGAUGAUCAGCCACACUGGAACUGAGACACGGUCAAGACUCCUACGGGAGGCAGCAGUGGGGAAUAUUGGAAAAUGGGCGCAAGCCUGAUCCAGCCAUACCGCGUGGGUGAAGAAGGCCUUCGGGUUGUAAAGCCCUCUUGUUGGGAAAGAAAAGCAGCAGGUUAAUACCCCGCUGUUCUGACGGUACCCAAAGAAUAAGCACCGGCUAACUUCGUG
RNAcentral lists this ribosomal RNA (491 nucleotides) under uncultured bacterium. RNAcentral's name for it is "partial 16S ribosomal RNA". It matches the Rfam family "Bacterial small subunit ribosomal RNA", at positions 29 to 507 of the family's 1533-position model. The record is from RNAcentral.